This 228-nucleotide ribosomal RNA is filed under the name uncultured Lactobacillus sp. Its description in RNAcentral is "partial 16S ribosomal RNA". It matches the Rfam family "Bacterial small subunit ribosomal RNA", at positions 134 to 355 of the family's 1533-position model. Lineage: Bacteria; Bacillati; Bacillota; Bacilli; Lactobacillales; Lactobacillaceae. The record is from RNAcentral.
UAGUCUGGGAUACCACUUGGAAACAGGUGCUAAUACCGGAUAGAAAGCGGAUCGCAUGAUCAGCUUUUAAAAGGCGGCGUAAGCUGUCGCUAUGGGAUGGCCCCGCGGUGCAUUAGCUAGUUGGUAAGGUAAAGGCUUACCAAGGCGAUGAUGCAUAGCCGAGUUGAGAGACUGAUCGGCCACAUUGGGACUGAGACACGGCCCAAACUCCUACGGGAGGCAGCAGCC